UACGUAGGGUGCAAGCGUUAAUCGGAAUUACUGGGCGUAAAGCGUGCGCAGGCGGCUUUGCAAGACAGAUGUGAAAUCCCCGGGCUUAACCUGGGAACUGCAUCUGUGACUGCAUGGCUAGAGUGCGGCAGAGGGGGAUGGAAUUCCGCGUGUAGCAGUGAAAUGCGUAGAUAUGCGGAGGAACACCGAUGGCGAAGGCAAUCCCCUGGGCCUGCACUGACGCUCAUGCACGAAAGCGUGGGGAGCAAACAGG
Molecule: ribosomal RNA, 253 nt
Filed under: uncultured bacterium
Lineage: Bacteria
Description: partial 16S ribosomal RNA
Rfam family: Bacterial small subunit ribosomal RNA
Source: RNAcentral